This 305-nucleotide ribosomal RNA is filed under the name uncultured bacterium. Its description in RNAcentral is "bacterial SSU rRNA". It matches the Rfam family "Bacterial small subunit ribosomal RNA", at positions 337 to 639 of the family's 1533-position model. The record is from RNAcentral.
GCCUACGGGGGGCAGCAGUGAGGAAUAUUGGUCAAUGGGCGCAAGCCUGAACCAGCCAAGUCGCGUGAGGGAUGACGGUCCUAUGGAUUGUAAACCUCUUUUGUCGGGGAGCAAGGCCCGCCACGUGUAGCGGGAAGGAGAGUACCCGAAGAAAAAGCAUCGGCUAACUCCGUGCCAGCAGCCGCGGUAAUACGGAGGAUGCGAGCGUUAUCCGGAUUUAUUGGGUUUAAAGGGUGCGUAGGCGGAAGGUUAAGUCAGCGGUCAAAUGUCGGUGCUCAACACCGGCCGGCCGGUGCAACUGGUCU